Long non-coding RNA from Solea senegalensis (Senegalese sole), 333 nucleotides. RefSeq lists it as uncharacterized. The transcript is spliced from 3 exons. The record is from RefSeq and is a predicted model, not a curated record. Lineage: Eukaryota; Metazoa; Chordata; Actinopteri; Pleuronectiformes; Soleidae.
UGAUGACCGUCCUCCGCUGCUGGAGUGGAGCAUUUCUCUAAAUCUGGGAAUUAAUUUUGAUGUAUAAUCAUACCUGGUGAGGAGGAAGGAGACGGGGGACGCCAGAAAUCACAGUCGGAUGAUCGGUGACACACGCUGCCUUCACAGCUCAGCGGGGAGCCAGAGGACAGCGACCUCGGGGACACUAGCCGGGACCCGUGGGCCAAUCUGUCAAUGUCGGCACACACAUUCACCUGCGGCUCCAAGUUCUCCGCCUGGGAUUUGGUCUCUACAGUCAGUCUCAGCUCCUCAACUCUGAAAUCUUCUACCUCACUUCACCUCCUCUGCGCGCAG